RNAcentral lists this ribosomal RNA (116 nucleotides) under Hyphomicrobiales bacterium. RNAcentral's name for it is "Rhizobiales bacterium (seawater metagenome) partial 16S ribosomal RNA". It matches the Rfam family "Bacterial small subunit ribosomal RNA", at positions 1 to 129 of the family's 1533-position model. The record is from RNAcentral. Lineage: Bacteria; Pseudomonadati; Pseudomonadota; Alphaproteobacteria; Hyphomicrobiales.
UCAACUUGAGAGUUUGAUCCUGGCUCAGAACGAACGCUGGCGGCAGGCUUAACACAUGCAAGUCGAGCGCCCCGCAAGGGGAGCGGCAGACGGGUGAGUAACGCGUGGGAAUCUAC